RNAcentral lists this ribosomal RNA (427 nucleotides) under uncultured bacterium. RNAcentral's name for it is "bacterial SSU rRNA". It matches the Rfam family "Bacterial small subunit ribosomal RNA", at positions 355 to 774 of the family's 1533-position model. The record is from RNAcentral.
UGAGGAAUAUUGCGCAAUGGGCGAAAGCCUGACGCAGCGACGCCGCGUGGAGGACGAAGGCCUUCGGGUUGUAAACUUCUGUUAAAUGGGAAGAAAUACGCAGGUUUAAUAAACCUGUGGGCUGACGGUACCAUUAGAGAAAGCACCGGCUAACUUCGUGCCAGCAGCCGCGGUAAUACGAAGGGUGCGAGCGUUAUUCGGAAUCAUUGGGCGUAAAGGGUGCGUAGGCGGCAUGCUAAGUCAACUGUUUAAUCCCUCGGCUUAACCGAGGUUCAGCAGUAGAUACUGAUGUGCUUGAGUAUGGAAGAGAGGAGUGGAAUUCUCGGAGUAGCGGUAAAAUGCGUAGAUCUCGAGAGGAACACCAAUGGCGAAGGCAGCUCCUUGGUCCAUUACUGACGCUGAUGCACGAAAGCGUGGGGAGCAAACA